AUCCAAUUGAAGAGUCCCAAGUAGGAGGAAACGUGCGUCAUGGAU
Molecule: non-coding RNA, 45 nt
Filed under: Schistosoma mattheei
Lineage: Eukaryota; Metazoa; Platyhelminthes; Trematoda; Strigeidida; Schistosomatidae
Source: RNAcentral